UUAAAAAGCUCGUAGUUGGAUUUCUGCGGGGGCGGGGCGGCCGACAACAACUCGUUGUUCGAGCUAGCACUUCCCCUGCAUCCUGCCGCGAACCGUGCUACCAUUAGUUUGGUGGCGCUGGGGAUCGGCUCGUUUACUUUGAGAAAAAUAGAGUGUUCAAAGCAGGCCACACGCCUUGAAUAAGUUAGCAUGGAAUAAUGAUAAAGGACUUCGGUUCUAUUUUGUUGGUGUUCGGGACUGAAGUAAUGAUUGAUAGGGACAGUUGGGGCGGUCCGUAUUCCAAAGCGAGAGGUGAAAUUCUUAGACCUUCGGAAGACGAACAGCUGCGAAAGCGUUCCGCAAGGAUGUUCCCUUUGAUCAAGAACGAAAGUUGGGGGAUCGAAGACGAUCAGAUACCGUCGUAGUCUCAACUAUAAACUAUACCAGCUAGGGAUCGGCCAACGUUUACUUACACCGACUUGGUCGGCACCUUAUGAGAAAUCAAAGCAUCUGGGUUCCGGGGGGAAUAU
This 509-nucleotide ribosomal RNA is filed under the name uncultured marine eukaryote. Its description in RNAcentral is "bacterial SSU rRNA". It matches the Rfam family "Eukaryotic small subunit ribosomal RNA", at positions 619 to 1126 of the family's 1831-position model. The record is from RNAcentral.